GAGCUUAACUAAUUUUUGCAAAUUGGCCCUGUUUAGAUGUACUCUUUCAACACUUAGCCAUGUCAUUUACAGCUCAACAUUAGUCUUCACUUCCUGCUUGCAUUAAGCCAAAUAGCCAGAGAUCAAAGAGCAGAGCCUUCUCAGCUUUUUUCUGAGCAUGCAUCCUGCUCUGAGUGUGGCUUUCUAAAUUCCCCUGUAUGCACAAGAGUUUUUCUGUGUUCUAAUUCUUCAAAGAAUAUCUCCUCCAGAAUUUCGUGUUUUUAAUUUUUGCCUUAACUGUUUGUUUUGUUUGCUUGUUGUUUGUUUCCCCAGGUAGCAGAUAGUUAUUAAUUUGUCUUUUAAUAUUUUCAUGAAAUGACCUCUGCAUAGCCACUUUUGUACCCUGAAAACUUUGCAAGUUAGAUGAAACAAAGGCUAUCACCUUAUGUCAGUUUCUCAGGCAGCCCCCAGGCAGGUCAAAAAUGAUAAACACAGUUGUUUGAGAACAAGGUGUACUCUGCUGCAGGGACCAGGGUCUCACAUCGGGAAUGAAGGCAUCUGAUUUCAAGACCAUCACCAUCCCAGAGUGGAGAUGGAGCAAAGGAAACCUGAAUGGGAGACUUCGGUUUCAGAAUAUCUCACAAAAAUAAGAUUGUUGCUUCCAUAUGCCAUAACAAAUUAGAAGACUGUACACGACAUCUAGAAACACACAUUGAAACUUAAGGUUAAAUCCUUCAGCAGGACUUCUUAUUUUAGUACAGAAAGCAUCAUAACUAAGAGUGUGAUUUUUUAUAGAAACUGCUCUCUGCGAUGUGUUUGAAGUUGUGCAUGGUGAAAAUGGUAUUACUGAACUAUAAGUCCUUAUUCUCUUUUCCCUAUUAACAGCACAGCUAGUAGCCUUCAGAUCUCUGUAUUCUUCCAACUAUUUUGUGAGGUGUCUUUCAUCCCACUACAAAGAACAGAUAAGGCAAGAAAAGAGAUAUUUUCUGCAGGGCUUAAUUGGAAAAGGUAUAGAUUUCAAGAAGAGAAAUGAGGGUAGCUCUUUUCAACUAAAUCGGCUUUCUUUUUUGAUUUCCAAGACUCCUCCACAAGCAUGCCUCAAAGUACUCAAAGUAGGCUCUGCAAACUUAAAAUUUUCAAUACUUUGAUGUAUCAAGGAAAGCUUAUUCUAACACUAUUAUUUUCAUUUAAAUGAAGACUAAUUUACUCAUUGAGUUGAAUAUUAAAGAACACGAAAUACAUAGUUUGAUUAUUAAACAAGAACCAACACUAGUUGUUUAUAUCUCAGAAACCCUGAAAACUCCUUGCUUGCCCCUCUUUCAUACCCCAUCUGAUUCCCUCUCACCUAGCAUCCCCUGGUAGAAUAGCUUCUAGAUUUGUUCUCAUGAAAGCCUGCCCACAACUUGUGAUACUUCCUAAACCCUGUGAACCAUGAAAAUCUGAGACAGGUUUCAAUUAAUUUAGAAAGUUUAUGUUGCCAAGGUUUGAGGACACGCACCCAUGACACAGCCUCAGGAGGUCCUGACAACAUGUGCCCAAGGCAGUAGGGGCACAGCUUGGUAUUAUACAUUUUAGGGAGACAUGAGACAUCAAUCAAUGUGUGUAAGAUGUACACUGGUUCAGUUUGGAAAGGUGGGAUAACUUGAGGUGAAGGUGGGACAACUCGAAGCAGGGAGGGGCUUCUAGGUCAUAGGUAGAUAAAAGACAAAUGGUUGCAUUCUUCUGAGUUUCUGAUUAGCCUCUCCAAAUGAGACAAUCAGAUAUGCAUUUAUCUCAGUGAGCAGAGGGAUGACUUUGAAAAGAAUGGAAGGCAAGUUUUGCCCUAAGCAGUUCCCAGCUUGACUUUUCCCUUUAGCUUAGUGAUUCUGGGGACCCGAGAUUUAUUUUCCUUUCAUGACCCCAAUCUUCAAAAUGCCUCGUGUUUUAUUUAUCACUAGGUGAUAGCUAAUUAAUUGAUCAAAAUAGUUGGUGUUCAUGGGAAACACUCAGCAGUGCUUUCAAAAACAGCCUUUUACAUAACAAACGUGAUUUUAUUGUUGGGUACUUGGCAAAAUCCAAUGAAUGAAAUUUAAUGGAGAAAUUAGUAAGCACUAGAGCAGAUGACAGCUAGAGUUUUUAAAAUUGUUCUGUUAAAGAAAACAACCCAGAUGGCUAACCCAUUUCACCACAGAACUGAUAUAUUAAUAAUCUCUUAAAAUUUUUUCUCCUGCAGAUAUAUCUCAAUUUACUCACUUAUCAUAUUCAGUUUACUCACUUAUCAAAAGCUCCAAAGAUGAAAAGAUUAUUGUAUUGUGAAUAUUUGUUUGCUGAAAACAUAUGAGAAGAAUAUGUACUCCUAGAUCAGUAAAUAGCAUGAGCAAAGAAGUAAUCAAUUCACAGAGAGCCAAGCAUAUUAAGACAAUUGUCUAGUAAUAUUGAGACAAUUUCUAGUAAUAUUACUGGGUUACAUACUGUUAAAGCAAACUACAUAUGGCCUGAGAAGGACUCCGUACUUCUAUAUUUGAGUUCUGGAGGAUAAACUGUAACCUAGCUUAAUAGUCAGACAGAAUUGAAAACCCAACUUAAUAGUAUACACCUAAACAAUAGCUGAGUGUUGGCCAAUCCCAGUGGCCAUACUUCCACCACUCAUAGACUGCUGAAUGUUGAAACUUCAUUCAAAUAAGGCAAACGCCAAGCUGUAACCAAUCUCGCUCUCUCUAUACCUCACUUCUGAUUCCUGUAUGUCACUUUUACCUUUUUUGUCUAUAAAUUUGUUCUAGCACAAGGCACCCCUGGAGUCUCCGUGAAUCUGCUGUGAUUCUGGGAACUUCCUGAUUCGCGAAUUGUUCAUUACUCAAUUAAACGCCUUUAAAUAUAA
RNAcentral lists this long non-coding RNA (2836 nucleotides) under Homo sapiens (human). RNAcentral describes it as "HSALNT0392436". Lineage: Eukaryota; Metazoa; Chordata; Mammalia; Primates; Hominidae. The record is from RNAcentral.